UGGAAAGCGUUGUCUUUGCCAGUUCUGGGGU
This 31-nucleotide non-coding RNA is filed under the name Rattus norvegicus (Norway rat). The record is from RNAcentral. Lineage: Eukaryota; Metazoa; Chordata; Mammalia; Rodentia; Muridae.